GCGGGUAUAGCUCAGCUGGGAGAGCGCAAGACUGAAGAUCUUGAGGUCCUUGGUUCGAUCCCGAGUGCCCGCA
This is a non-coding RNA of Dunaliella salina, 73 nucleotides long. The record is from the annotation of a GenBank genome assembly. Lineage: Eukaryota; Viridiplantae; Chlorophyta; Chlorophyceae; Chlamydomonadales; Dunaliellaceae.